UACGAAGGGGGCUAGCGUUGCUCGGAAUCACUGGGCGUAAAGGGUGCGUAGGCGGCCUGUUAAGUCGAACGUGAAAUCCCCGGGCUCAACCCGGGAACUGCGUCCGAUACUGGCAGGCUUGAAUCCGGGAGAGGGAUGCGGAAUUCCAGGUGUAGCGGUGAAAUGCGUAGAUAUCUGGAGGAACACCGGUGGCGAAGGCGGCAUCCUGGACCGGCAUUGACGCUGAGGCGCGAAAGCCAGGGGAGCAAACGGG
Molecule: ribosomal RNA, 253 nt
Filed under: uncultured bacterium
Lineage: Bacteria
Description: partial 16S ribosomal RNA
Rfam family: Bacterial small subunit ribosomal RNA
Source: RNAcentral